This 798-nucleotide ribosomal RNA is filed under the name uncultured bacterium. RNAcentral describes it as "bacterial SSU rRNA". It matches the Rfam family "Bacterial small subunit ribosomal RNA", at positions 11 to 804 of the family's 1533-position model. The record is from RNAcentral.
GUUUGAUCAUGGCUCAGAUUGAACGCUGGCGGCAUGCCUUACACAUGCAAGUCGAACGGUAACGCGGGGGCAACCCUGGCGACGAGUGGCGAACGGGUGAGUAAUACAUCGGAACGUACCCAGUAGUGGGGGAUAGCUCGGCGAAAGCCGGAUUAAUACCGCAUACGACCUACGGGUGAAAGCGGGGGACCGCAAGGCCUCGCGCUAUUGGAGCGGCCGAUGUCGGAUUAGCUUGUUGGCGGGGUAAAAGCCCACCAAGGCGACGAUCCGUAGCUGGUCUGAGAGGACGAUCAGCCACACUGGAACUGAGACACGGUCCAGACUCCUACGGGAGGCAGCAGUGGGGAAUUUUGGACAAUGGGGGCAACCCUGAUCCAGCCAUGCCGCGUGAGUGAAGAAGGCCUUCGGGUUGUAAAGCUCUUUCGGCGGGGACGAAACGGUUCAUGCCAACACCAUGAACUAAUGACAGUACUCGCAGAAGAAGCACCGGCUAACUACGUGCCAGCAGCCGCGGUAAUACGUAGGGUGCAGGCGUUAAUCGGAAUUACUGGGCGUAAAGCGUGCGCAGGCGGCUCCUUAAGUCAGAUGUGAAAUCCCCGGGCUUAACCUGGGAACUGCGUUUGAAACUGAGGGGCUUGAGUGUGGAAGAGGGGGGUGGAAUUCCAGGUGUAGCAGUGAAAUGCGUAGAGAUCUGGAGGAACACCGAUGGCGAAGGCAGCCCCCUGGGCUAACACUGACGCUCAUGCACGAAAGCGUGGGGAGCAAACAGGAUUAGAUACCCUGGUAGUCCACGCCCUA